Molecule: long non-coding RNA, 1932 nt
Filed under: Triticum aestivum (bread wheat)
Lineage: Eukaryota; Viridiplantae; Streptophyta; Magnoliopsida; Poales; Poaceae
Description: long non-coding RNA (TAES_LNC007645)
Source: RNAcentral
UGGCUUGCAUCUCUCCUCCUCAUGUGCAUUGGUUUGCAUCCAAUCCUUGCAGUCCAAUCCAUGGAAGUCCCUCCCUCCCUGCAUCUCUAGAACACGACACUUAAAUUUCAUCAACUUCCAUUGCUACUGAUAAAAGAGGAGCAAGAUGUAUAUGCUGCAUAAAUCAUACAUGGAGAAGCAAGUUGCUUGAAAACAGAGGAGGUCCAUGAUGGUUGUUCUCAUUCGCAACAGAAAAACUCAGAAAAAUGCACAAGUGCAUGCUAUCUAUGGAUACACCAACUCUAUCAGUACCUGGCACCCAAACUAAGAAAAAAAUUCAUUCAUAUGCAGCAACCUAAACUCAACUUUGAGAGAGCGGACUGAUUAACAUUUUUUUGUUGGGUCGAAUUUUUCACAAAUAUAGAUAGUGUAACGCCCGUGAAAUUAAAUUAUGCAAAGUAGUAUAGUAGUAAUAUUUUAAGCCAAUUAUAGAGAUUAUCGGAUGGAUUGAUAGCUUGCACUAAUAAUAUAUAUGAUGGAUGCCACUGUUUAAGAAUUAGCAGUAGUUGCUUAGAACCCAAAUGCAUGUACACGUACUGGUCUAGGCAGACUUUUUUUUCUUUCCCUUAAUUUGUGAGAAGAGUUAGACCAGAUAUUUUGCUCAACAAGUAGCUGGCUGUAGGAAGGGUCGAGGAGGCAACUGAAAAUAAAAUGUUUAGUAAAUGGAAAUGAUUAUGCUGCUGACUCAGGUACAGGCCAGCAAGCUUAUCUAUUCCUGUUGUCAGACAUACGUGUCAAUUAGAGCAAUUUUACUUACUGUCUAUUCCUGCACGCCUAUAUAAAGGGCCAAGGGCCGGGUAGCUGGACCUCACACCACAACCAUUGUCUCUCUUCACUAGAGGUAGUAGUAGUAGAGCCGUAGCUGCUGGUGCAGAGCAGGCGUUAGAAAUCUUGCUGCUGUGUCAAGAGAAUCGGGAGAAGGCAAGCAUGCGUUCCAUCUAGCUUCUCCAGAUGUCCUGUUCCUUCUCUUUCUUUACUCAUGCCAUGCCGCUGUUGCUAGUACUUCUCUAUAUGGCUAGUCUGUAGCACUAUUCUUGUUGUUAAUUCUUUCACCUCAGCUAGUGUGUCCUUGUACAGUACGCAUGGUGGUUUGGUUCUGCAUGCUAGUUGUGAAAGAUGCAUGCGUCCUAUCUCCCAAGAACUCCUCUAGAUUAAUUUGUCUUUUCUCUCUUUCUAUCUUGUACCACAUGCCUUGUUCUAACUAAGUACGCCUCACUUUUACUUGUUGGACCUGUACACUCGUUAUGCUAAGAAUAGCACAUGCAAGACUAGCUAAUCUUGUGCAGAAGCUAGGGAUGAUAUAUUGGUGAUCUUUUGAGAUAAUAUUUCCUCUUCUAAUGUUCCAGUCCUAAUGAAAAAUCUAACACUAAGGCAUCACGAUGGCAAAAACAUUGUACCGGUCACAGUUUUUCCCUGCUACAUGUGUGCUUGCUGAGUAUGUUAUCAUACUCAUUCUUGCUAUCUUUUUUUUUUGCAGAGAUGAGCAAUGGAAAUGAUGGUGAACAGUAGAAGUAGUACUACGGGAGGGGAUGAAAUAAAGAAACUUGCAUGCAUGUACUAGCAAGAACACUUGUAGUCGUUCCUAUGAUAAUGAAUAAAAAUGAUUCCAGUGUACUACCUUGGUUAACCUGAUGGCCUAACAUGCUUAUAAAUUUGAAUUGAAUUUAUAAGCAUGUGGCAAUUGUCACUGCUAUGUUUUGGGGCGUGACAGAUAGAAGCACUCCAAAAGCUACAUAAUAAAUCAUAGAGGCUGGCCGAACUAAUUGGCGCACUCAAACGAUACAAGAGAGCGGCCCGAUGGACAACUAAGCAAGCAUACACAGCAAGUAAAACUACAUCACCAAUAUUAUGUAAUUAACUGGAAGCUCUUGUUCAUCAUACCAGUACAAAUAU